This 1530-nucleotide ribosomal RNA is filed under the name Escherichia coli. RNAcentral describes it as "bacterial SSU rRNA". It matches the Rfam family "Bacterial small subunit ribosomal RNA". The record is from RNAcentral. Lineage: Bacteria; Pseudomonadati; Pseudomonadota; Gammaproteobacteria; Enterobacterales; Enterobacteriaceae.
AGAGUUUGAUCAUGGCUCAGAUUGAACGCUGGCGGCAGGCCUAACACAUGCAAGUCGAACGGUAACAGGAAGCAGCUUGCUGCUUCGCUGACGAGUGGCGGACGGGUGAGUAAUGUCUGGGAAACUGCCUGAUGGAGGGGGAUAACUACUGGAAACGGUAGCUAAUACCGCAUAACGUCGCAAGACCAAAGAGGGGGACCUUCGGGCCUCUUGCCAUCGGAUGUGCCCAGAUGGGAUUAGCUUGUUGGUGGGGUAACGGCUCACCAAGGCGACGAUCCCUAGCUGGUCUGAGAGGAUGACCAGCCACACUGGAACUGAGACACGGUCCAGACUCCUACGGGAGGCAGCAGUGGGGAAUAUUGCACAAUGGGCGCAAGCCUGAUGCAGCCAUGCCGCGUGUAUGAAGAAGGCCUUCGGGUUGUAAAGUACUUUCAGCGGGGAGGAAGGGAGUAAAGUUAAUACCUUUGCUCAUUGACGUUACCCGCAGAAGAAGCACCGGCUAACUCCGUGCCAGCAGCCGCGGUAAUACGGAGGGUGCAAGCGUUAAUCGGAAUUACUGGGCGUAAAGCGCACGCAGGCGGUUUGUUAAGUCAGAUGUGAAAUCCCCGGGCUCAACCUGGGAACUGCAUCUGAUACUGGCAAGCUUGAGUCUCGUAGAGGGGGGUAGAAUUCCAGGUGUAGCGGUGAAAUGCGUAGAGAUCUGGAGGAAUACCAGUGGCGAAGGCGGCCCCCUGGACGAAGACUGACGCUCAGGUGCGAAAGCGUGGGGAGCAAACAGGAUUAGAUACCCUGGUAGUCCACGCCGUAAACGAUGUCGACUUGGAGGUUGUGCCCUUGAGGCGUGGCUUCCGGAGCUAACGCGUUAAGUCGACCGCCUGGGGAGUACGGCCGCAAGGUUAAAACUCAAAUGAAUUGACGGGGGCCCGCACAAGCGGUGGAGCAUGUGGUUUAAUUCGAUGCAACGCGAAGAACCUUACCUGGUCUUGACAUCCACGGAAGUUUUCAGAGAUGAGAAUGUGCCUUCGGGAACCGUGAGACAGGUGCUGCAUGGCUGUCGUCAGCUCGUGUUGUGAAAUGUUGGGUUAAGUCCCGCAACGAGCGCAACCCUUAUCCUUUGUUGCCAGCGGUCCGGCCGGGAACUCAAAGGAGACUGCCAGUGAUAAACUGGAGGAAGGUGGGGAUGACGUCAAGUCAUCAUGGCCCUUACGACCAGGGCUACACACGUGCUACAAUGGCGCAUACAAAGAGAAGCGACCUCGCGAGAGCAAGCGGACCUCAUAAAGUGCGUCGUAGUCCGGAUUGGAGUCUGCAACUCGACUCCAUGAAGUCGGAAUCGCUAGUAAUCGUGGAUCAGAAUGCCACGGUGAAUACGUUCCCGGGCCUUGUACACACCGCCCGUCACACCAUGGGAGUGGGUUGCAAAAGAAGUAGGUAGCUUAACCUUCGGGAGGGCGCUUACCACUUUGUGAUUCAUGACUGGGGUGAAGUCGUAACAAGGUAACCGUAGGGGAACCUGCGGUUGGAUCACCU